AACGAACGCUGGCGGCAUGCCUAACACAUGCAAGUCGAACGAGACCUUCGGGUCUAGUGGCGCACGGGUGCGUAACGCGAGGGAACCUGCCCUUAGGGUCGGAAUAACUCCCCGAAAGGGGUGCUAAUACCGGAUAAUGGCUUCGGACCAAAAAUUUAUCGCCUUUGGAUGGGCCCGCGUUGGAUUAGCUAGUUGGUAGGGUAAAAGCCUACCAAGGCGACGAUCCCUAGCUGGUCUGAGAGGAUGAUCAGCCACACUGGGACUGAGACACGGCCCAGACUCCUACGGGAGGCAGCAGUGGGGAAUAUUGGACAAUGGGCGAAAGCCUGAUCCAGCAAUGCCGCGUGAGUGAUGAAGGCCUUAGGGUUGUAAAGCUCUUUUACCCGGGAUGAUAAUGACAGUACCGGGAGAAUAAGCUCCGGCUAACUACGUG
This 433-nucleotide ribosomal RNA is filed under the name uncultured bacterium. Its description in RNAcentral is "partial 16S ribosomal RNA". It matches the Rfam family "Bacterial small subunit ribosomal RNA", at positions 29 to 507 of the family's 1533-position model. The record is from RNAcentral.